RNAcentral lists this ribosomal RNA (402 nucleotides) under uncultured bacterium. RNAcentral's name for it is "partial 16S ribosomal RNA". It matches the Rfam family "Archaeal small subunit ribosomal RNA", at positions 473 to 873 of the family's 1478-position model. The record is from RNAcentral.
ACACCGGCAGCUCAAGUGGUAGCCGCUUUUAUUGGGCCUAAAGCGUCCGUAGCCGGUCUGAUAAGUCUCUGGUGAAAUCCCACCGCUUAACUGUGGGAAUUGCUGGAGAUACUAUCAUGACUCGAGGUCGGGAGAGGCUGGAGGGACUCCCAGGGGAGGGGUGAAAUCCUGUAAUCCUGGGAGGACUACCUGUGGCGAAGGCGUCCAGCUGGAACGAACCUGACGGUGAGGGGCGAAAGCCAGGGGCGCGAACCGGAUUAGAUACCCGGGUAGUCCUGGCCGUAAACGAUGUGGACUUGGUGUUGGGAUGGCUUCGAGCUGCCCCAGUGCCGAAGGGAAGCUGUUAAGUCCACCGCCUGGGAAGUACGGCCGCAAGGCUGAAACUUAAAGGAAUUGGCGGGG